RNAcentral lists this ribosomal RNA (292 nucleotides) under uncultured bacterium. RNAcentral's name for it is "partial 16S ribosomal RNA". The record is from RNAcentral.
GGACUACUGGGGUUUCUAAUCCUGUUUGCUCCCCCAGCUUUCGAGUCUUAGCGUCAGUAAAGGCCCAGGCAGCUGCUUUCGCCAUAGGUGUUCCUCCCGAUCUCUACGCAUUUCACCGCUACACCGGGAAUUCCACUGCCCCCUACCCUACUCUAGACGCCCAGUAUCCGACGACGGUUCCCAGUUGAGCCGGGAGAUUGAACGUCGGACUUAAGCGCCCGCCUACACUCGCUUUACGCCUAGUAAUUCCGAAUAACGCUCGCCACCUAUGUCUUACCGCGGCUGCUGGCAC